This 253-nucleotide ribosomal RNA is filed under the name uncultured bacterium. Its description in RNAcentral is "partial 16S ribosomal RNA". It matches the Rfam family "Bacterial small subunit ribosomal RNA", at positions 524 to 776 of the family's 1533-position model. The record is from RNAcentral.
UACAGGGGGUGCAAACGUUGCUCGGAAUUAUUGGGCGUAAAGCGCGCGUAGGCGGUUACUUAAGUCGGAUGUGAAAGCCCUCGGCUCAACUGAGGAAGUGCAUCCGAAACUGAGUAGCUAGAGUACGGAAGAGGGUCGCGGAAUUCCCGGUGUAGAGGUGAAAUUCGUAGAUAUGCGGAGGAACACCGAUGGCGAAGGCAAUCCCCUGGGCCUGCACUGACGCUCAUGCACGAAAGCGUGGGGAGCAAACAGG